This 514-nucleotide ribosomal RNA is filed under the name uncultured bacterium. RNAcentral's name for it is "bacterial SSU rRNA". It matches the Rfam family "Bacterial small subunit ribosomal RNA", at positions 8 to 526 of the family's 1533-position model. The record is from RNAcentral.
AGAGUUUGAUCCUGGCUCAGAGCGAACGCUGGCGGCGUGCCUAACACAUGCAAGUCGAACGUGAACGGGGGCAACCCUUAGUAAAGUGGCGUACGGGUGAGUAACACGUAGGUAAUCUACCUUAGAGUUCGGAAUAACCGGCCGAAAGGCUGGCUAAUACUGGAUAGAGCGACGGAAACCGUAACGGUUUUUUCGGGAAAGGGAGCUCGAUAAGAGCCUUCGCUUUAAGAUGAGCCUGCGUCUGAUUAGCUAGUUGGUGAGGUAACGGCUCACCAAGGCGAUGAUCAGUAGCUGGUCUGAGAGGAUGAUCAGCCACACUGGAACUGAAACACGGUCCAGACUCCUACGGGAGGCAGCAGUGGGGAAUAUUGCUCAAUGGGCGAAAGCCUGAGGCAGCAACGCCGCGUGUGCGAUGAAGGCCUUCGGGUCGUAAAGCACUUUUCUGGGAGAUGAGAAAGGACAGUAUCCCAGGAAUAAGUCUCGGCUAACUACGUGCCAGCAGCCGCGGUAAUAC